Molecule: ribosomal RNA, 490 nt
Filed under: uncultured bacterium
Lineage: Bacteria
Description: partial 16S ribosomal RNA
Rfam family: Bacterial small subunit ribosomal RNA
Source: RNAcentral
AUUGAACGCUGGCGGCAGGCCUAACACAUGCAAGUCGAACGGUAACAGGAAGAAGCUUGCUUCUUUGCUGACGAGUGGCGGACGGGUGAGUAGUGUCUGGGAAACUGCCUGAUGGAGGGGGAUAACUACUGGAAACGGUAGCUAAUACCGCAUAAUGUCGCAAGACCAAAGAGGGGGACCUUCGGGCCCCUUGCCAUCGGAUGUGCCCAGAUGGGAUUAGCUAGUAGGUGGGGUAACGGCUCACCUAGGCGACGAUCCCUAGCUGGUCUGAGAGGAUGACCAGCCACACUGGAACUGAGACACGGUCCAGACUCCUACGGGAGGCAGCAGUGGGGAAUAUUGCACAAUGGGCGCAAGCCUGAUGCAGCUAUGCCGCGUGUAUGAAGAAGGCCUUCGGGUUGUAAAGUACUUUCAGCGGGGAGGAAGGGAGUAAAGUUAAUACCUUUGCUCAUUGACGUUACCCGCAGAAGAAGCACCGGCUAACUCCGUG